GCGUGAACAAAAGAAGAGACCGAUCUCCUUUUGGGUGAGCGACCUAGAACCAUUCUAAGAUUUUUGGGUGAGAAAAAAACAAAAGAGAAGAGAGUCUUCAUCUAGUUUUCUCUACCAUUCAGCAUCCUCUUUUGAUUCAUCUUCGAUAUUGAAAAGGUUCAAGGCGAUUGAAGGAAGAACUCAAAUCAGAUCUGCCGUC
Molecule: long non-coding RNA, 199 nt
Filed under: Elaeis guineensis (African oil palm)
Lineage: Eukaryota; Viridiplantae; Streptophyta; Magnoliopsida; Arecales; Arecaceae
Description: long non-coding RNA (EGUI_LNC043150)
Source: RNAcentral